GAUGAACGCUGGCGGCGUGCCUAAUACAUGCAAGUCGAGCGAACAGAUGAGGAGCUUGCUCCUCUGACGUUAGCGGCGGACGGGUGAGUAACACGUGGAUAACCUACCUAUAAGACUGGGAUAACUUCGGGAAACCGGAGCUAAUACCGGGUAAUAUAUUGAACCGCAUGGUUCAAUAGUGAAAGACGGUUUUGCUGUCACUUAUAGAUGGAUCCGCGCCGCAUUAGCUAGUUGGUAAGGUAACGGCUUACCAAGGCAACGAUGCGUAGCCGACCUGAGAGGGUGAUCGGCCACACUGGAACUGAGACACGGUCCAGACUCCUACGGGAGGCAGCAGUAGGGAAUCUUCCGCAAUGGGCGAAAGCCUGACGGAGCAACGCCGCGUGAGUGAUGAAGGUCUUCGGAUCGUAAAACUCUGUUAUUAGGGAAGAACAAAUGUGUAAGUAACUAUGCACGUCUUGACGGUACCCAAUCAGAAAGCCACGGCUAACUACGUG
This 497-nucleotide ribosomal RNA is filed under the name uncultured bacterium. Its description in RNAcentral is "partial 16S ribosomal RNA". It matches the Rfam family "Bacterial small subunit ribosomal RNA", at positions 28 to 507 of the family's 1533-position model. The record is from RNAcentral.